GGAGGGUGCAAGCGUUGUUCGGAAUUAUUGGGCGUAAAGAGCGUGUAGGCGGUUCGGUAAGUCAGAUGUGAAAGCCCUGGGCUCAACCCAGGAAGUGCAUUUGAAACUACCAGACUUGAGUACGGGAGAGGAGGGGGGAAUUCCCGGUGUAGAGGUGAAAUUCGUAGAUAUCGGGAGGAAUACCAGUGGCGAAGGCGCCCUCUGGACCGAUACUGACGCUGAGACGCGGAAGCGUGGGGAGCAAACAGGAUUAGAUACCCUGGUAGUCCACGCCGUAAACGAUGAGCACUAGGUGUAGCGGGUAUUGACCCCCCUGCUGUGCCCGUAGCUAACGCAUUAAGUGCUCCGCCUGGGGGACUACGGUCGCAAGACUA
Molecule: ribosomal RNA, 374 nt
Filed under: uncultured organism
Description: partial 16S ribosomal RNA
Rfam family: Bacterial small subunit ribosomal RNA
Source: RNAcentral